RNAcentral lists this ribosomal RNA (251 nucleotides) under uncultured bacterium. RNAcentral describes it as "partial 16S ribosomal RNA". It matches the Rfam family "Bacterial small subunit ribosomal RNA", at positions 524 to 775 of the family's 1533-position model. The record is from RNAcentral.
GACAGAGGUCCCAAGCGUUAGGCGGAAUCACUGGGCUUAAAGCGUGUGUAGGCGGAUCCGUAAGUACCUUGUGAAAUCCCACGGCUCAACCGUGGAACUGCUGGGUAUACUGCGGGUCUUGAGCCACCUAGGGGCGGAGCGGAACAAGUGGUGGAGCGGUGAAAUGCGUAGAUAUCACUUGGAACGCCAAUGGUGAAACAGCUCGCUGGGGUGUGCUGACGCUGAGACACGAAAGCCAGGGAGGCAAACGG